CGCAAUAGUUGGAUAUCCAGUAAUAUCGGUAAUGGUUUAUAUGAAGAUAUUAUUUACCUCUUCCAGCCUGGUUUGCCUACAAAAAAAUAUAUAUAUUCGAAUCGUUGUAAUAUCGAAGCAGUAAGAUCACGGCAGCCGGCUGAACGACGGUACGCGCCCGCCGCCGCCUCCUUGCCUAAGCAGGAGGGGCGGCAACUUCCUCGGGCCUCCUCGUUCUUUUCGCGCCGAGGGGCCGCCCUGACACUUUCGCGACGCGUAAUCUUGUUGAGCCGGAUAAGCAGAAAAUUCAGGUAGCCUCCCUAAACACACAAUCAGCUGUCCUAUGGCGCGGGCCUCGGCUCGGGCGGGGAGGGCUGCAGGGGCUGGCGCGGUUACCGGCGGAUGAACGUGUCCCCUCCGAGCACAAUGCAGCGGCCCCCUACCUGCAGUGGUCAGGCCGCAUCCUUCAUAUGACAGCCGACCGUGACAAAAAAUUCCCUUACCGUUGCAUAUUCCCAAGUGCAUUGUAAGAGUAUUGUCCUCCUCGCACGUUCCCCUCCCGUGGUCAGUGGCCUCAGCUGCAUUGCCGUCCGCGCUGGCCGCGCCUGCAUUGGGUGCCAGCGUCGGCGGCCUCGCCCGAGCCGGCAAAAAGUCACCCCCGCUCUCAGGAGGUUGGUUCGCCUUUGUCCCCCUUUUGUGCCCCCGGUCAGGGCAGCAACAAAUUCUUCGUUGGUCACUAGAUUAAUCUGCAUUGCCUCUGCUGGACAAUGGGUAGCUCAGUUUUUACACCUUGGUCGGCCUGGGCCCUGUCGUGGUCCCUCUGCAGCCCCUUGGCUGCCGGCCGCAGCAGCCAUCAAGAACUUUGACCAGUUUCCUUCUGAGUGUGGUCGGGGAGGUGCCGGGCGGGACGCAGCGCCGGGCAGCAGCCUUACACUGCAUAAAAAGACAUUCACACAUUCGACUACGUUAAAAAUAAGGUCUUAUGGCGCCUUCUACACGCGAUGGCGGAGCGAGGACGGAGGGGCGGAAGGCCGGACGGGCGGGCGGGUCGACGAGAGGAGGAAGAGACAACAAGGAGAGACGGAGAGGGCCUUGUGUUGGCCUCUUUAUUGGCGGAGCUCCUGUCCUGCCUCCGACGGCUCCAAUAUGUGUCCUCGGCUAGAGACCAGAUAGCACCCAAGCCAUCUCUGAAUCGCAAAUGUUUUAUGCUUUUCUCUCCAAGAGAAGCGGCUGGACGAUAUCAGACAACAGCAAUGAUCACUGGACAAGAGCGACUUUGAUUUAGCCAAACCACACACUAGUCACGCUCCUCCAAUAUUCGGUCGUCUUGGGCGGCGAGAAGGAUGGCGGCCGUGAGGGUGCACGAGGAGGCCUGUCUCGCCCCUGAUAGCCGGUCAACACACGCCCCCACCGCCCUCAAGGAGCCUCCGAGCGAGGGACGCGGUAAACAGCAGGGCCGGGCGGCGGAGGGCGCGGCGCACCACUCUGCUCCGCCUCUCAGCGCCUCGCACUGCCCUGCCCCCGCCUCCACCGCCCACCCUCACGCCUCCACCACACCCUGCACGACGCUCACAAUACUAAAAUCAAAUGUAACUGAGAUCCUCUGUAGCCAAAAAAAUCAGUUGUACCUUAGUAAGAUGAAUAAAAUAUAUAUCUGUAAUGUACAAUGUAAGGCGGUUCAUAAUGGUAUGAUUGGCAUCCUG
Molecule: long non-coding RNA, 1682 nt
Organism: Eriocheir sinensis (Chinese mitten crab)
Lineage: Eukaryota; Metazoa; Arthropoda; Malacostraca; Decapoda; Varunidae
Exons: 5
Source: RefSeq, a predicted model, not a curated record